UCCCAGACUCCUACGGGAGGCAGCAGUGGGGAAUAUUGCACAAUGGGGGAAACCCUGAUGCAGCAACGCCGCGUGAGUGAAGAAGUCAUUCGUGAUGUAAAGCUCUAUCAGCAGGGAAGAAAAUGACGGUACCUGAGUAAGAAGCCCCGGCUAACUACGUGCCAGCAGCCGCGGUAAUACGUAGGGGGCAAGCGUUAUCCGGAUUUACUGGGUGUAAAGGGAGCGCAGGUGGCAAGGCAAGCCAGAAGUGAAAACCCGGGGCUUAACCCCGCGGAUUGCUUUUGGAACUGUCUGGCUGGAGUGCAGGAGGGGCAGGCGGAAUUCCUGGUGUAGCGGUGAAAUGCGUAGAUAUCAGGAGGAACACCGGUGGCGAAGGCGGCCUGCUGGACUGUAACUGACACUGAGUCUCGAAAGCGUGGGAAGCAAACAGGAUUAGAUACCCCCGUA
This 447-nucleotide ribosomal RNA is filed under the name uncultured bacterium. RNAcentral describes it as "bacterial SSU rRNA". It matches the Rfam family "Bacterial small subunit ribosomal RNA", at positions 329 to 792 of the family's 1533-position model. The record is from RNAcentral.